AAGCAGUGGGCAGGCCACAUCACUAGGGCCACCCAGAACUGGCUCAACUCCCAUCAAACCAAGUUGCCGGUGGAGAUCACCCAGCUCGUCAUGAGAGCACUUUUUCAACGCAUUCAUAUGUCAUCCAUAUCCACUUUCUGCGCCUACCAUGGUGACCACGGGUAACGGGGAAUCAGGGUUCGAUUCCGAAGAGGGAGCCUAAGAAACAGCUACCACAUGUGAGGAAGGCA
Pelobates cultripes (western spadefoot toad) is the source of this 230-nucleotide non-coding RNA. The record is from the annotation of a GenBank genome assembly. Lineage: Eukaryota; Metazoa; Chordata; Amphibia; Anura; Pelobatidae.